Molecule: long non-coding RNA, 909 nt
Organism: Seriola aureovittata
Lineage: Eukaryota; Metazoa; Chordata; Actinopteri; Carangiformes; Carangidae
Exons: 3
Source: RefSeq, a predicted model, not a curated record
UGCUAUACCUCUGAAAUGGCAAAAAGACACACUCACUCGUUGAAUUUGUCACAUGGUCUAAUCUGGUUUUGUCAGAGCUGCAGCAGUGCUUCGCUCACCUCAGCAGGAUUAUCAGUAACAAAGAAAAGGCAGGACUAAGUGGACUGAAGUGAGCUUGAAGACAGAGUUUCAGAUGCCACUUGUUGAAGAGAGGUGAAGGUGAUGGGAAAACUGGAUAAUGAGGCGCCUCCCACCGUGAUCUCAAUGGUUUGCCAAUGAAGCGGGGCAUGAUAUCAUCACAGUGAUGUCAGGAUGACGCACCUCACUGAGCUGAAGAAUUCAACCCACUGAUGAUGACAAUGAAACCAGGCAAAUUAAAAAUAUACAUGGCUCCAAACAUUGCGUCAUAUUUGGACCUGAGACGCUUUUGCAUUGAUCCAAAGUGAUCUGAACUUAAAUGAUGCCGACUGAUAUUGACCCAUAACUGGCUUCUUAUGGUUCAGGAGGGACAUCAACGCUACGUCAUCCAGUAGGUGACCUACUGUGGUCAAUAUCUCCCUCCAGUGUACAGAAAUAAAACUUCACCACAAAAACAGAAAUGGCUACCAUAAUCGUCUGCCAUAUACUGAUGAUAGCAUGUGCAAUGUUAAGGUUUAUUAAUAUACAAUAACAAACCUUAUGAAAAAAUAGCAAUCAUACUAAUAACAUUUAGGAUAUGAAAAUAAGAAAAACAGAUAUUCAGGUGUCACCACCUGUUUCACUCCCUGUCUGCAAUGGUUAGAGCCUUGCUUGUGUUUGUCCAGUUCUUGUUGUAUACUCCCAUCUUGUGGUAAAGAAGAAACAUAGCAUAAGAAGCUUAGAAAUAACAUGUCUGUUACCAGUUCAAUGGCAUAUUUACUUAAACAUUACACUGUGUGACUGAAGCCAAUG